RNAcentral lists this long non-coding RNA (250 nucleotides) under Gossypium barbadense (sea-island cotton). Its description in RNAcentral is "long non-coding RNA (GBAR_LNC002387)". The record is from RNAcentral. Lineage: Eukaryota; Viridiplantae; Streptophyta; Magnoliopsida; Malvales; Malvaceae.
CAUCAUUUAAUUAAAAAAAAUUAUAAUUUAGUAAUUGAAUUAUUCGAAAGUAUUUAUUUAAGUCAUUAGAUUGUCAAAAUUGAUGCUUGCACCAAUUGAAAGCUCUCUUCUCGCUUCAUAAUUUGUGAACUAAAAUUUAAGUAGUUUUUUUCUUCGAUCUCUGAUACUGACCGUCAUAUCAACUUGGAUCUAAGACAUGUUCUUCUACUCGUUCAUAAACUGAUCUAUUGUAUUGAUCGUCAAAUCAUCG